UGAUCUUGCCCUAGAAAGUUACUGUAAUUCAGUUCAAUGGGAAAAGUGAUUAGACAGUCUAGACCAAUGCAAUGGCACCAGCAAAAUUACGAACCUGUGCUGUCAGGGGACAUAGACUGGACGUGAGGAGACCACCCAAUUCCAAUCAUAUUGAAUUUGGAAAUGAGUAUAGAAAUGGUUGGAUCAGAGCAAGAUAUUCUUGAGAGCCUAUUAUUAUUUCUCUAAGAAGUUAAAGAUCCUUGUUGCUAAGCAGCUAAAUCUAAAAUUUAGUCACCUGAGAGACAAAAGGGGGAGGGCUUACAUUUCCCUUUGUUCUGUGGUCACAGCUGCAAACCUUUGUUCAUUAAUAAAGGGUGGUACAAACCAUCUAGACAGAAAGGGCCAUGGAAACUACUGUUUCUUCUGAUGGAAGACUCUGGAAAGCACAAGGGAAGUUAUAAGAAGAGCAUAUAAGGAAACUUGAAUCAGGGCAAAGAAAGCAUUGAUUAGAAAUGGAUUCAAAAUCCAGGAGAUGAUUGGUGUUGGGUCAGGCAUGUUCAUUUGUAUAUCUUCUAUUUUAGGCACAGAACUAACAUCGCUUUGCACGAGUUUUCCAAACCCUGGCCACGUGAACUAAGUCAUCUGAUUGCUGGUAUAUCAGCAUCUAGAUUAUACAAAAUUAUCUGAACUUAUUUUCAUUCCUGCUGAUGCAAGUGCCUGGUGGGUCAAGUCCGGAGCAUGGACGCAUGACAAGGUAUGGCUUCCAUGAAAAGAAAACAACGUCACACUACCUCUCUUUUUGAUCCCUUGCCACUCAGCUGCUAACACAACUCUUCUCUCCACAAAUACCAACUCAGCUUUUAAUUUGAAACUGUUACGGAAGUUUCAGACAGGAAAAAUAAAGGAGUUAAAAGUGUGCCACUCUAAAAUAUGCCAAAUUAGUGUAUUGAUUACUUCAAGCUCAAAGCACUUUGGAAACUGUAGUUCCAGAAGUGACUAUCUGACCUGCCUUUUCCUGCAUCUAGCAAGCCAUAAAACUUCCAUGGAGAAAGAUGCCUUCCCUGUGCCAGGACAAGAAAAUAACCGUAUCCCCAGGCAGGUCUUGGUCCACAAAGAGAAUGCAUCUUUGCCAGAGGACCCAGCAUAAGUUCCAUAGACCUGCAAGCUGCCCUCAGGGCAUCUGGGACAUCUUCUGUUCAAGGACCAGCAGGUAAAAAGAAGAGUCAUUUUGGCAGGAGUAAUUGACCCUGAAGAGCAGGGGAAGGUAAGGCUGCUGAGCCCCAGUAGAGGCAGGGAGGGUUAUAUGGAGAAACUAGGGGAUUCACUUGGGAGCCACUUGGAACCACCCAAUGCAAUGGUAACUGCGAAUGGAUAUGUGCAGCAGUGUUGACCUCCCGGGAUGAAGGUUCAAAAGAUUUAAAACAAACAUUAUAGCAAGUGCUCUGGGUCCUCCCUGACUCCAACUUUUGUCUUUUUUAUUUUUCCUUCUCUUUAUUUUUUUAAAGUUAAAACAAAAUUAAUGUUAUAAAGAUGGGGUCUUGCUUUGUUGCCCAAGCUGGUCUCAAAGUCCUGGGCUCAAGUAUUCCUCCCACCUUGGCCUCCCAAAGUGCUAGGAUUAUAGGCAUGAACAACCAUGCCCAGCGCCCUCACCCAACCCCUUUUUAAAAAAACUAUAUACCUCUCACAGCCCAUGGCUAUCCAAAAACCCACAAGGUUUGUAAAGACGGUUCUCAGAAUUAUUGUUCUGUUGGUUAUUAGACUCCAAAGAAGGUACAAGUAAAUAUGAAUAGUCUCCAUCUAUGGGUUUUGGUUAAGGUGAACACUGGUGCUAAAAUUGAAAGGACAAGGACAGCUACUCAGAACGUUCCCAUCUUGUAAAAACCUUGACCCUGCUUCACUUGUGACAUCACCUGGUCUUCAGGUACUCCCUCAUGUAGUUCAAUUGAAUAAAGCCUUUAACCUCUAUGUGAGUCACUUUAAAAAACAUAUAAUAUAUAUGUUUAAUAAUUUUGUGUUGUUACUUGGAAUAGUUUUGUGCAAAACGCCAACACUGCCCAGUUUUGUGCCAAAGACAGCAUUAUCAAAGAAC
Papio anubis (olive baboon) is the source of this 2068-nucleotide long non-coding RNA. Lineage: Eukaryota; Metazoa; Chordata; Mammalia; Primates; Cercopithecidae. The record is from Ensembl.